RNAcentral lists this ribosomal RNA (586 nucleotides) under uncultured bacterium. RNAcentral describes it as "bacterial SSU rRNA". It matches the Rfam family "Bacterial small subunit ribosomal RNA", at positions 338 to 948 of the family's 1533-position model. The record is from RNAcentral.
CCUACGGGAGGCAGCAGUGAGGAAUUUUCCGCAAUGGGCGAAAGCCUGACGGAGCAAUACCGCGUGAGGGAUGAAGGAUUUUGGUCUGUAAACCUCUUUUCUCAAGAAAGAAGUUCUGACGGUACUUGAGGAAUAAGCAUCGGCUAACUCCGUGCCAGCAGCCGCGGUAAUACGGGGGAUGCAAGCGUUAUCCGGAAUGAUUGGGCGUAAAGCGCCUGUAGGUUGUUUAUUAAGUCCGUUGUUAAAGCCUAGGGCUUAACCCUAGAAAAGCAAUGGAAACUAGUAGACUAGAGUAUGGCAGGGGUAGAGGGAAUUUCUAGUGUAGCGGUGAAAUGCGUAGAUAUUAGAAAGAACACCGGUGGCGAAAGCGCUCUACUGGACCAUUACUGACACUCAGAGGCGAAAGCUAGGGUAGCAAAAGGGAUUAGAUACCCCUGUAGUCCUAGCCGUAAACGAUGGAUACUAGAUGUUGUGCAUUAUGUACAGUAUCGUAGCUAACGCGUUAAGUAUCCGCCUGGGGAGUACGCUCGCAAGGGUGAAACUCAAANAGAUAGAGCGNGAGACGUGCGACGCGACACGAGGAGAG